This 495-nucleotide ribosomal RNA is filed under the name uncultured bacterium. RNAcentral's name for it is "partial 16S ribosomal RNA". It matches the Rfam family "Bacterial small subunit ribosomal RNA", at positions 28 to 505 of the family's 1533-position model. The record is from RNAcentral.
GAUGAACGCUGGCGGCGUGCCUAAUACAUGCAAGUCGAGCGAACAGACGAGGAGCUUGCUCCUCUGACGUUAGCGGCGGACGGGUGAGUAACACGUGGAUAACCUACCUAUAAGACUGGGAUAACUUCGGGAAACCGGAGCUAAUACCGGAUAAUAUAUUGAACCGCAUGGUUCAAUAGUGAAAGACGGUUUUGCUGUCACUUAUAGAUGGAUCCGCGCCGCAUUAGCUAGUUGGUAAGGUAACGGCUUACCAAGGCAACGAUGCGUAGCCGACCUGAGAGGGUGAGCGGCAACACUGGAACUGAGACACGGUCCAGACUCCGACGGGAGGCAGAAGUAGGGAAGCUUCCGCAAGGGGCGAAAGCCUGACGGAGCAACGCCGCGUGAGUGAUGAAGGUCUUAGGAGAGUAAAACUCUGUUAUGAGGGAAAAAAAAAUGUGUAAGUAACUAUGCACGUCUGGACGGUACCUAAUCAGAAAGCCACGGCUAACUACG